This 414-nucleotide ribosomal RNA is filed under the name uncultured bacterium. RNAcentral describes it as "bacterial SSU rRNA". It matches the Rfam family "Bacterial small subunit ribosomal RNA", at positions 355 to 786 of the family's 1533-position model. The record is from RNAcentral.
UGGGGAAUAUUGGGCAAUGGGCGAAAGCCUUACCCAGCAACGCCGCGUGAAGGAAGAAGUAUCUCGGUAUGUAAACUUCUAUCAGCAGGGAAGACAAUGACGGUACCUGACUAAGAAGCCCCGGCUAACUACGUGCCAGCAGCCGCGGUAAUACGUAGGGGGCAAGCGUUAUCCGGAAUUAUUGGGCGUAAAGGGCGCGUAGACGGCCGAGUAAGUUAUAGGUGAAAGCCCAUCUUUCAAGGAUGGAAUUGCCUGUAAUACUGCUUGGCUUGAGUGCAGGAGAGGGAAGCGGAAUUCCUAGUGUAGCGGUGAAAUGCGUAGAUAUCACGCAGAACUCCGAUUGCGAAGGCAGCAUACCGGCGCUCAACUGACGCUCAUGCACGAAAGCGUGGGUAUCGAACAGGAUUAGAUACC